Molecule: long non-coding RNA, 2091 nt
Filed under: Medicago truncatula (barrel medic)
Lineage: Eukaryota; Viridiplantae; Streptophyta; Magnoliopsida; Fabales; Fabaceae
Description: lncRNA gene30152
Source: RNAcentral
CUAUGAAAUUUGACGGUAUUCAACGGCAGUAGAUUUUAAGAGUUGAUGAAGAUGAUGGCAUCGAAUGAUUCAGUUAGUAAUAAUAUUUUCAACAGUUUGAAACUCAAAUACUCAUUCAUUCACAUUUUUAUGCCUCAAAACUAGGCGACAAAAAACUUCAACCUAGAAACAUGUGAAUCGAAGGAAGGAGACCAAGAAAAACAGAAUGGAUAAACUGCCCAGGUAAGAUUUUAAUUAUUUCAAGUUCACAUUUGUUUCAUACUAAAUGUUUGUUUCUCCGACAACACCGCUCUCUGCAAAUCCUCCAUUUUCACAUCACCGCCACAAAACACCAUCCUCGUUCCACCGUCCACCGCCGCAUUCUUCACACUUCUCCACUCACACAAGUUCCCAUUUACAACCUCACAUACAACAAGUUCAUCCAACACCAACGUGUUACGCAAGUAAACCAAAUUCCCAACCCAAAUUGCUUCAACUGAACCAAACUCUGAAUCACCUCUCAACUUCUCCACCAUCUCCUUCGGCAUCGAACCUAUUUCCUCCAUUCCCGAAUCUAUUUCCUCCUUAACAGCCCACAGCUUUACUUCUCUUACGUUCCCCGGUUCACCCACCAAUCCGGCCACCGUCAAUUUCUCUGACAAAGUUCCGGUGACGGUGUAGAGUACACUUUUAUCAUCUGGACGUAGAUAAUAAGGCCCUUCCCAAUCCAUCGUAGUUGUAUUGAACGUGUACGUCACACCGGAAUUCUUCUCCGUCACGAGCAUGGUUUCUCCGACAACCGCAACCGAUAGCCACGAGGAUGCCGACGAUGUCUUCAGUGUCAUUGGCAUCGACUGGCAAUUGACCCAAUCACGGCUCUCCAUGUUGUACAUCUCCACUGCAAGUGGAUCAUCUUCAAACUCACACGCGCCGCCAGCAACCACCACACAAUUUCCAACGCGCGCUACUAUUGGAUCAGUGCGCCACACGCGCGGUGACGGUGCUUUAUGCCACUCGAGUUGAAGUGCGUCGAGUGAAAACGUAAACUCCGAUGGGGAUAAGGUGUAAAGCAGAGUUGAAUGAGAUGAUCUAAUGGCUGGAAUUUCCUGAGUUUUGUUGAUCAACGGUUGGUGUUUAGUUAUCUGAAGCCACGCAUGAGAGCGAGGAUCAUAAGCAUGAGCGAUGGUCACGCGCGAAGCGCGUGAUGUUUGGGGUAAAACAAUGAGCCAUGGUUUGAUUUGUCUUACGUGGGUAAGUGAAGAGAAAACAGUUUUGUUCCAUGAUUUAGAUACGUGACAAGAUGGAACAAGGUCGAUGAGUGGCACGAAUGAAAAUAUUGUUUCUAAAACAUCACCAUGGAUGGGUGCUUCUUGUUUGGGUUCUCUUUUUAUGGCAGCCAUGUUGAAGGAAAUGAAUAAGCUGCUUUUGUUUAAGUGCUUUUCUUUGUUUUGGGUGGUAGUAGAGUUUUGGAGUGGAGAGGGAAAGUGUUUCUGUGUUUUAUGGUUUUGAGUGGUUUAUUUAUAUAGAAGUGGGAAAAGGAGAAUAGUAUCCUCUUUGAUGGGUGUGAAUUGGUGACCUAUCGUAACGUUUCAACCUAUUAUUGGUACGGUGUUAAACUUUUUCCUUAUGGUCAAUACAGAAAGACACAACUUUUCGAAUCUUUCAAUGCUAGAUUAAUUUCCCUCAAUGCAAUCGAUCCCAAAACAAAGCUGUUUAUGUACUUUCAAGCAUUAGUAAUUUACAAAUUAUUUUUAAUAGCGAUUUGUAAAUAGUAUACUUAUGGAACUGUUUGGCCACAUUAUUUUACAGGUUAAGAAAUCAUGUUGAGAUGGCUAAACAGUAAAACUUAGUUGGAUGAUAGUAUGAAAAUAGUUUUGCUUUUAUUCUUUUUCAUAAUAAAAGAUACUUUUACAUUUGGAGCACACUACCAUAUUCCAAGUCAAUAUCACUAUAUCAAUUCAAGUGGAUUGUAUUCUCUGAUGUCUUGAUUAUAAAAGUCAAUAUCACUAUAUCAACUCAAGUGGGUUGUAUUCCCUGAUGUCUUAAUUAUAAACGACUUUUUUAUUUUUUAGAUUCAUUGAAUAAAUAAUAUAUGUAGUCUAGAAUAUAUAC